CGACAUCUCCCACCGAUGAAUCCGCCGCCUCCCCGCCGCCGGCCGACAUCCUCCGCCACGCCAUCCUUCGUCGCGUCGUCCUGCCCGCACCCUGGUCUGCCUCCUCUCCGCCACGCCCUCUUCCCCGCGCCGUCUGACUCCUCCGCGCGCGGUUCGCCGACACCGAGGCCCAGGCCGCCGCGCUCCGAGCCUGCGCCGGCCAGCUCAUGCGCGCGCCGCCGACCGCGACCGGCUGCUCAACACGCUCCUCGCGGCCGCGGGCAAUGACCAAGAGGAGGAGGACGCGCCAGAGGUGGGGCAACGUCAGAAUCAACGCGCUCGGAUCCAGCCGAGGCUUACAGCGACACGGACGCGGAGAAUCCGGCCGCGGCCGCCGCACUCCCUCCGGUCAUCACCUUCCUUCCCAUCGACAACAACUGACAAGGACUACCACGAUUAGAGCUACUCUUUGGCACCCAUGUUACAGUAUGAAGUCAAGCAGGCAACAAGGGAUCUGUGGGACGAGGCCAAGGUGUACGUGCGCAACCUUCCCUACGACGUUAGUAGCGAGCGCCUUGUGCAGCUCUUCGGGCAGGACGUCGUCGUCGAGGUCACCGUGGUGAGCAUGCUCUUCCUCUUAGACCAUCUUCAACGCUGGAUGCUAGCAUAAGGUGAUAUGAUUUGUUUCACAGUCGAUAUGUGGUAUUGGUGACAGAAGGUGCAUCACGUGCUUGGGUAUUUUCCUCCGCACGAGGUAAAGUACCAAAUGUGUUUUCAAUAUGUAAUUAGCAGCCAUGCUUAGCAUCAAGCUUUGAUAGAGGGGGCGCUUAGAUGAUUUUUGAUUUUAGGUAUUUAUUUUCUCUAUCUCUGAGCAUCUACACAGGCAACCCGCAUUAUAGAUGAUAUUAGCCUGCUGCCAGUGUCGUUCCUCUAGGCACACACACACACACACACACACACACACACACACACAUUUUGCCUGGUGAAGGGAAUGCCUCAAAUCAUCAGACUCCUGAUUAUGUGUCGUGUUCGUGAAAGACUGAAACUGACACUAUCGGUUCUAGAUGUAAAUGAUGUCUGCUUUAAUGUGGUUGUUGUGUUGUUGAAGCUCAAAUGGAGUGUUUAUGCAUAACUGAAGUGGCACAUUUAGUUCUGGACAUAUCCAACAGCCUCCAAAACUUCUGAAAGCAAAGAGCUAGAGAACCAUCCUCUAGGCUCUCCUGUACCCCAACAGAUUAUUUUUCUUCCAAAACUAUUGAUAAACGCAGCAAGUUUUAAGUGCAAUUCCACAUCCAGAUGUUGUUAUUCAGGUUGUCAUCAUACUGUAUCAGCUUCAAAGUUUAUUUUUACUCUCAAGUAGUCCAUAAAUAUGUGAACCUGAACACUCAAACUACUGCGGGGGUAGGAUUUCCGCAGUAUCCUUUGGCUGGUUAAUCUGUUUGGACUAGAAUUUUCUGAAUUGUAGUAAGCUUGGCAACUACAGAAUACAUUGUGUCGAGAUAUAAUAGCACUCGAUUCUCUAACAAUCGUUGGUUCAUGAAUUGUAGCAGGAUGAACCCAAGGCCCCUCCUGUGGAUCCCAUUGCUUUCCAUUUUUCAUGAUUGAGAUCUUGGGAUUUAACAUUUUGUAUUUUCUUGUUUAUUUUCUUUUUCUUUUGGAGGAGAACAUGAUGCAGCUUGUAAUGUGUGAAUUUACAACUUUUGUUGAAUAAACAGAAUAUAUCAACUGAGCUCUUCAGAUAUCAUCUACACCUCAGACAAGUAACAUUAACUUGCUAAAAGCACGAAAAGUAACACAAGGUUUGCAAGUUUGACAAAGUUUCCCUCCGUUCUUGAAUGUAGCUAUUUUUAUUUUCCUUCUAUUCAAACUGGUGUUGGCAUGGUGACAAAAACAUUAACUUCACACUGUUGCUAGCUGUGACGUUUUGUCAAAGUUGAAUACAAGAAAGUGGAUUUGUAAGCAGAGUGACAACGCCAAUUAUUUUUCUCCUGGUGCAACACAUGACAAUAUGUGCUACAUCGAAAGGAAAAGGAGGAAGUAAUGCACUAGAAGUUUUACAGAGUCAUGAUGCACAUUGAGGAGUUAGUGGUGUGUUUUCCUUUUCUUUUGAGACAAUUGUCGUAUAAUGGAAAAAGUACACUACCGUUCGGCUGAAACCCAUCAUAUUUCUAACGGUAUACAACCAAAAUCGUGGUGAGACC
RNA transcript from Triticum dicoccoides, 2180 nucleotides. RefSeq lists it as uncharacterized. The record is from RefSeq and is a predicted model, not a curated record. The transcript is spliced from 4 exons. Lineage: Eukaryota; Viridiplantae; Streptophyta; Magnoliopsida; Poales; Poaceae.